Molecule: ribosomal RNA, 497 nt
Filed under: uncultured bacterium
Lineage: Bacteria
Description: partial 16S ribosomal RNA
Rfam family: Bacterial small subunit ribosomal RNA
Source: RNAcentral
GAUGAACGCUGGCGGCGUGCCUAAUACAUGCAAGUCGAGCGAACAGACGAGGAGCUUGCUCCUCUGACGUUAGCGGCGGACGGGGGAGUAACACGUGGAUAAACUACCUAUAUGUCUGGGAUAAUUUCGGGAAACCGGAGCUAAUACCGGAUAAUAUAUUGAACCGCAUGGUUCAAUAGUGAAAGACGGCUUUGCUGUCAGUUAUAGCGGGAUCCGCGCCGCAUUAGCUAGUUGGUAAGGUAACGGCUUAUCAAGGCGACGAUGCGUAGCCGACCUGAGAGGGUGAUCGGCCACACUGGAACUGAGACACGGUCCAGAGUCCUACGGGAGGCAGCAGUAGGGAAUCUUCCGCAAUGGGCGAAAGCCUGACAGAGCAACGCCGCGUGAGUGAUGAAGGUCUUCGGAUCGUAAAACUCUGUUAUUGGGGAAGAACAAAUGUGGAAGUAACUAUGGACGUCUUGACGGUACCGAAUCAAAAAGCCACGGCUAACUACGUG